CAUAUAUCUGUAUGUGGUAGCCAUUUGAAAUGUCUAGAAAGAAAAUUAUUUAGGAACGGAGGGAGUAGUUGCUUGCUUCUUUAGAAUCACUCCAGUUUAGAGCAUACGACUUCCAAAAAAAAGUGCAUCACCAUAACCCAUUGAUAGCAUCAUCUGUGAGACGUCCCUGUAAAUUAACUAAAGAAGUAAAUAAAAUUGACAUUAUUGCCACAUCUUGAUUUGUAAACUAACUAUAUCAGCAAUAUUACCAUCAGCAGUCACCUUUGUCUCUAAAAACACUAUCAUCUGCAACAUGUGCUUGUGCUUGUGCACCACCACCGCAUGCCUCUCCCCUAACCUCUUGCAGCUUGUAGUAAAAGAAAUUUGGUGAGUUUCAAAAUAAUGAAACGAAUUAUGGCACUUGAAACACAAAUGUUAUUCUGCAACAUACCACUGAAUAGUGAAAGAUUGAGCUAACAUUUUCUUUAAUGACAAAAGGGAAAGAUUGAUUUAAAAGAGAAUAGGCAACAAGUAUUACAGAACUUUAGAAUAAUAGUACAUCCAGGUUUUCAUUUACUAUGUUAGCCUGUGUUUAUAUUUUCAUCCAUCUCUUACUAUGAAUAGCAGUACUUGGGGAUAAGAAUGAAUUACAUACAUACAUACUAGAAUCAUGAGGCAUCAGCGUCCAGCCCCUUCCUUCUU
RNAcentral lists this long non-coding RNA (681 nucleotides) under Triticum aestivum (bread wheat). RNAcentral's name for it is "long non-coding RNA (TAES_LNC006148)". The record is from RNAcentral. Lineage: Eukaryota; Viridiplantae; Streptophyta; Magnoliopsida; Poales; Poaceae.